UGCUGUUGAAAAAGCAUGGGAUGAGCUGUGGAUAGCGGAGAAAUUCCAAUCGAACCCGGAGAUAGCUGGUUCUCUCCGAAAUAGCUUUAGGGCUAGCGUCGAGUAUGAGUAGUGGAGGUAGAGCACUGAAUGGGCUAGGGGGCAUAGCGCUUACCGAACCUUAUCAAACUCCGAAUGCCACAUACUUUGAGCUCGGCAGUCAGACUACGAAUGAUAAGAUCCGUGGUCAAAAGGGAAACAGCCCAGAUCGUCAGCUAAGGUCCCAAAGUGUAAGUUAAGUGGGAAAGGAUGUGAGAUUUCUAAGACAACUAGGAUGUUGGCUUAGAAGCAGCCAUUCAUUAAAAGAGUGCGUAAUAGCUCACUAGUCGAGAGAUCUUGCGCCGAAAAUGUAACGGGGCUAAACUUACCACCGAAGCUACGGGCUUGAACUUAGUUCAAGCGGUAGGAGAGCGUCGUAACCGGGCUGAAGUCGUACCGUAAGGAGCGGUGGACUGGUUACGAGUGAGAAUGUUGGCAUCAGUAGCGAGAUGUGGGUGAGAAUCCCACAGGCCGAAAACCUAAGGUUUCCUCAGGAAGGUUCGUCCGCUGAGGGUUAGUCGGGACCUAAGCCGAGGCCGAAAGGCGUAGGUGAUGGACAACUGGUUGAUAUUCCAGUACCACUACCAUCGUUAUUAUCGAUGGCGUGACGCAGGAGGAUAGUGUGUGCUAGCUAUUGGAUGCUAGUCUAAGCGUUUAGGCAGUGAGAGUAGGCAAAUCCGCUCUCAUAAUGCUGAGGCGUGAUGGGGAAGGUUCUACGGAACCGAAGUACAUGAUUCCACGCUGCCAAGAAAAGCGUCUAGAGAGAGAAGUAGUGCCCGUACCGCAAACCGACACAGGUAGGUGAGGAGAGAAUCCUAAGGCCGGCGGAAGAAUUACAGUUAAGGAACUCGGCAAAUUGACCCCGUAAGUUCGCGAGAAGGGGUGCCUACGAGAGUAGGCCGCAGAGAAUAGGCCCAAGCAACUGUUUAGCAAAAACACAGGUCUCUGCUAAAGCGUAAGCUGAUGUAUAGGGGCUGACGCCUGCCCGGUGCUGGAAGGUUAAGGGGAACACUUAGCGCAAGCGAAGGUGUGAACUUAAGCCCCAGUAAACGGCGGCCGUAACUAUAACGGUCCUAAGGUAGCGAAAUUCCUUGUCAGGUAAGUUCUGACCCGCACGAAUGGCGUAAUGACUUGGGCACUGUCUCAACUGUAAAUCCGGCGAAGUUGUAGUGCGAGUGAAGAUGCUCGCUACCCGCGAUUGGACGGAAAGACCCCGUAGAGCUUUACUGUAGCUUAGCAUUGAGUUUUGGUAUUGUCUGUACAGGAUAGGUGGGAGACUAGGAAACCAGGGCGUCAGCCUUGGUGGAGUCAACCUUGGGAUACCACCCUGACAGUACUGAAAUUCUAACUGGCGGCCAUGAAUCUGGUCACAGGACAUUGUUAGGUGGGCAGUUUGACUGGGGCGGUCGCCUCCUAAAAAGUAACGGAGGCGCCCAAAGGU
RNAcentral lists this ribosomal RNA (1519 nucleotides) under metagenome. RNAcentral describes it as "bacterial LSU rRNA". It matches the Rfam family "Bacterial large subunit ribosomal RNA", at positions 784 to 2317 of the family's 2925-position model. The record is from RNAcentral.